This 257-nucleotide unclassified non-coding RNA is filed under the name Basidiomycota sp. RNAcentral describes it as "partial contains small subunit ribosomal RNA, internal transcribed spacer 1, and 5.8S ribosomal RNA". The stretch from base 1 to 47 matches the Rfam family "Eukaryotic small subunit ribosomal RNA", at positions 1785 to 1831 of the family's 1831-position model. Lineage: Eukaryota; Fungi; Basidiomycota. The record is from RNAcentral.
AAAGUCGUAACAAGGUUUCCGUAGGUGAACCUGCGGAAGGAUCAUUACUGAUUCAAGAGGGAUGUGCUGGCUCUCUUUGGGAGCAAUUGUGCACUCUUUCAAAUCUAAAUCUAUUCACCUGUGCACACUUGGUAGGCAAAUAGAAAUGGGAACACAGUUUCCAUCAUUGCCUAUUGUCUUUUUACACACACUUUUGAAUGCAAUGAAUGUAAUUGAAUUAAUUAAAACAACUUUCAACAAUGGAUCUCUUGGUUCUC